This 72-nucleotide transfer RNA is filed under the name Ictidomys tridecemlineatus (thirteen-lined ground squirrel). Its description in RNAcentral is "Spermophilus tridecemlineatus (thirteen-lined ground squirrel) tRNA". It matches the Rfam family "tRNA". From Rfam's summary of the family: Transfer RNA (tRNA) molecules are approximately 80 nucleotides in length. Their secondary structure includes four short double-helical elements and three loops (D, anti-codon, and T loops). Lineage: Eukaryota; Metazoa; Chordata; Mammalia; Rodentia; Sciuridae. The record is from Rfam by way of RNAcentral.
GGGGAUAUGGUUCAGUGGUAUAGUGCUUACCUAGAAUGUGAGAGACCCUGAGUUCAAUCCCCAGCACCACCA